Molecule: ribosomal RNA, 692 nt
Filed under: uncultured Prevotellaceae bacterium
Lineage: Bacteria; Pseudomonadati; Bacteroidota; Bacteroidia; Bacteroidales; Prevotellaceae
Description: bacterial SSU rRNA
Rfam family: Bacterial small subunit ribosomal RNA
Source: RNAcentral
CGCUAGCCCCUUGAUUGACACAUGCAAGUCGAGGGGCAGCAUGAAGUUCUUUUGCAAACUUUGAUGGCGACCGGCGCACGGGUGAGUAACGCGUAUCCAACCUUCCCCUUACUAGGGAAUAGCCCGGCGAAAGUCGGAUUAAUGCCCUAUGUUCUCCUUUGCGGGCAUCUAACGAGGAGCAAAGAUUCAUCGGUAAGGGAUGGGGAUGCGUCUGAUUAGCCAGUUGGCGGGGUAACGGCCCACCAAGGCGACGAUCAGUAGGGGUUCUGAGAGGAAGGUCCCCCACAUUGGUACUGAGACACGGACCAAACUCCUACGGGAGGCAGCAGUGAGGAAUAUUGGUCAAUGUACGCGAGUCUGAACCAGCCAAGUAGCGUGCAGGAUGACUGCCCUAUGGGUUGUAAACUGCUUUUAUGCGGGAAUAAAGUCAGGUACGUGUACCUGUUUGUAUGUACCGCAUGAAUAAGGACCGGCUAAUUCCGUGCCAGCAGCCGCGGUAAUACGGAAGGUCCGGGCGUUAUCCGGAUUUAUUGGGUUUAAAGGGAGCGCAGGCGGGUUAUUAAGCGUGUUGUGAAAUGCGGCGGCUCAACCGUCGAAUUGCAGCGCGAACUGGUUACCUUGAGUGAGUACGACGUCAGCGGAAUUCGUGGUGUAGCGGUGAAAUGCUUAGAUAUCACGAAGAACUCCGAUUG